GACGAACGCUGGCGGCGUGCUUAACACAUGCAAGUCGAGCGGUAAGGCCCUUUCGGGGUACGACGAGCGGCGAACGGGUGAGUAACACGUGGGCGACCUACCCUCAGCUUCGGGAUAAGCCUGGGAAACUGGGUCGUAAUACCGGAUAUGACCUUCCCUCGCAUGGGGGUUGGUGGAAAGUUUUUCGGUCGUGGGAGUGGCCCGGCCGGCCUA
This 213-nucleotide ribosomal RNA is filed under the name uncultured bacterium. RNAcentral describes it as "partial 16S ribosomal RNA". It matches the Rfam family "Bacterial small subunit ribosomal RNA", at positions 28 to 240 of the family's 1533-position model. The record is from RNAcentral.